Molecule: ribosomal RNA, 359 nt
Filed under: Alkalihalophilus pseudofirmus
Lineage: Bacteria; Bacillati; Bacillota; Bacilli; Caryophanales; Bacillaceae
Description: bacterial SSU rRNA
Rfam family: Bacterial small subunit ribosomal RNA
Source: RNAcentral
UUUUAUGGAGAGUUUGAUCCUGGCUCAGGACGAACGCUGGCGGCGUGCCUAAUACAUGCAAGUCGAGCGGACUGAUGGGAGCUUGCUCCCUGAUGUUAGCGGCGGACGGGUGAGUAACACGUGGGCAACCURCCUGUAAGACUGGGAUAACUCCGGGAAACCGGGGCUAAUACCGGAUAACCCGUUCCACCUCAUGGUGGAGCGGUAAAAGAUGGCCUCUGGCUAUCACUUACAGAUGGGCCCGCGGCGCAUUAGCUAGUUGGUAAGGUAACGGCUUACCAAGGCGACGAUGCGUAGCCGACCUGAGAGGGUGAUCGGCCACACUGGGACUGAGACACGGCCCAGACUCCUACGGGAGG